RNAcentral lists this ribosomal RNA (457 nucleotides) under uncultured bacterium. Its description in RNAcentral is "bacterial SSU rRNA". It matches the Rfam family "Bacterial small subunit ribosomal RNA", at positions 29 to 506 of the family's 1533-position model. The record is from RNAcentral.
AUGAACGCUGGCGGCGUGCUUAACACAUGCAAGUCGAACGCACUUUUUCUUCGGAGAGGGUGAGUGGCAGACGGGUGCGUAACACGUGGGUGACCUGCCUCGGAGUGGGGAAUAACUAUCCUAACGGAUGGCUAAUACCGCAUACGCCCGAUGCUUCAGUGCAUCGUGUAAAGUCGUAAGACGCUUCGAGAUGGGCCUGCGGCGGAUUAGGUAGUUGGUGGGGUAACGGCCUACCAAGCCGAUGAUCCGUAGGGGGCGUGAGAGCGUGGCCCCCCACACUGGCACUGAGAUACGGGCCAGACUCCUACGGGAGGCAGCAGUGAGGAAUAUUGCACAAUGGGCGCAAGCCUGAUGCAGCAACGCCGCGUGAGGGACGAAGGCCUUCGGGUCGUAAACCUCUUUUUUGAGGGACGAGAGACAGGACGGUACCUCAAGAAUAAGUCUCGGCUAACUACGU